This 596-nucleotide ribosomal RNA is filed under the name Salmonella enterica. RNAcentral describes it as "partial 23S ribosomal RNA". It matches the Rfam family "Bacterial large subunit ribosomal RNA", at positions 594 to 1191 of the family's 2925-position model. RNAcentral also lists the same sequence under 3 other names. Lineage: Bacteria; Pseudomonadati; Pseudomonadota; Gammaproteobacteria; Enterobacterales; Enterobacteriaceae. The record is from RNAcentral.
UGACUGCGUACCUUUUGUAUAAUGGGUCAGCGACUUAUAUUCUGUAGCAAGGUUAACCGUAUAGGGGAGCCGGAGGGAAACCGAGUCUUAACCGGGCGUUAAGUUGCAGGGUAUAGACCCGAAACCCGGUGAUCUAGCCAUGGGCAGGUUGAAGGUUGGGUAACACUAACUGGAGGACCGAACCGACUAAUGUUGAAAAAUUAGCGGAUGACCUGUGGCUGGGGGUGAAAGGCCAAUCAAACCGGGAGAUAGCUGGUUCUCCCCGAAAGCUAUUUAGGUAGCGCCUCGUGAAUUCAUCUCCGGGGGUAGAGCACUGUUUCGGCUAGGGGGCCAUCCCGGCUUACCAACCCGAUGCAAACUGCGAAUACCGGAGAAUGUUAUCACGGGAGACACACGGCGGGUGCUAACGUCCGUCGUGAAGAGGGAAACAACCCAGACCGCCAGCUAAGGUCCCAAAGUCAUGGUUAAGUGGGAAACGAUGUGGGAAGGCCCAGACAGCCAGGAUGUUGGCUUAGAAGCAGCCAUCAUUUAAAGAAAGCGUAAUAGCUCACUGGUCGAGUCGGCCUGCGCGGAAGAUGUAACGGGGCUAAACCAUG